GAUGAACGCUGGCGGCGUGCCUAAUACAUGCAAGUCGAGCGAACAGACGAGGAGCUUGCUCCUCUGACGUUAGCGGCGGACGGGUGAGUAACACGUGGAUGACCUACCUAUAAGACUGGGAUAACUUCGGGAAACCGGAGCUAAUACCGGAUAACAUGUUGAACCGCAUGGUUCAACAGUGAAAGACGGUCUUGCUGUCACUUAUAGAUGGAUCAGCGCCGCAUUAGCUAGUUGGUAAGGUAACGGCUUACCAAGGCAACGAUGCGUAGCCGACCUGAGAGGGUGAUCGGCCACACUGGAACUGAGACACGGUCCAGACUCCUACGGGAGGCAGCAGUAGGGAAUCUUCCGCAAUGGGCGAAAGCCUGACGGAGCAACGCCGCGUGAGUGAAGAAGGUCUUCGGAUCGUAAAACUCUGUUAUUAGGGAAGAACAAAUGUGUAAGUAACUAUGCACGUCUUGACGGUACCUAAUCAGAAAGCCACGGCUAACUACGUG
This 497-nucleotide ribosomal RNA is filed under the name uncultured bacterium. RNAcentral's name for it is "partial 16S ribosomal RNA". It matches the Rfam family "Bacterial small subunit ribosomal RNA", at positions 28 to 507 of the family's 1533-position model. The record is from RNAcentral.